RNAcentral lists this ribosomal RNA (440 nucleotides) under uncultured bacterium. Its description in RNAcentral is "bacterial SSU rRNA". It matches the Rfam family "Bacterial small subunit ribosomal RNA", at positions 338 to 795 of the family's 1533-position model. The record is from RNAcentral.
CCUACGGGGGGCUGCAGUGGGGAAUAUUGCACAAUGGGGGAAACCCUGAUGCAGCAACGCCGCGUGAGCGAAGAAGGCCUUCGGGUCGUAAAGCUCUGUCCUAAGGGAAGAAGCAUGACGGUACCUUAGGAGGAAGUCCCGGCUAACUACGUGCCAGCAGCCGUGGUAAUACGUAGGGGGCGAGCGUUAUCCGGAAUUACUGGUCGUAAAGGGUGCGUAGGCGGCCCUUCAUGUCAGAGGAGAAAGGAUACGGCUCAACCGUAGUAAGGCUGUGAAACUGUAGGGCUAGAGUGCAGGAAAGGAGAGUGGAAUUCCCAGUGUAACGCGGAGAUGCGUAGAUAUUGGGAGGAACACCAGUGGCGAAGGCGGCUCUCUGGACUGUAACUGACGCUGAGGCACGAAAGCGUGGGGCGCGAACAGGAUUAGAUACCCGAGUAGUC